Small nuclear RNA from Cavia porcellus (domestic guinea pig), 99 nucleotides. The record is from Ensembl. NCBI's taxonomy places the organism in Eukaryota, Metazoa, Chordata, Mammalia, Rodentia, Caviidae.
UUAUUGUAUGGAAGGAGAGAAGGUUAGCACUCCCCUUGGGCCUGACACAUACAGUUAAGGUACUGCCACCUACUUUGUGGCAUCUAACCACUGUUUUGG